GAUGAACGCUGGCGGCGUGCCUAAUACAUGCAAGUCGAGCGAACAGACGAGGAGCUUGCUCCUCUGACGUUAGCGGCGGACGGGUGAGUAACACGUGGAUAACCUACCUAUAAGACUGGGAUAACUUCGGGAAACCGGAGCUAAUACCGGAUAAUAUAUUGAAUCGCAUGGUUCAAUAGUGAAAGGCGGUUUUGCUGUCACUUAUAGAUGGAUCCGCGCCGCAUUAGCUAGUUGGUAAGGUAACGGCUUACCAAGGCAACGAUGCGUAGCCGACCUGAGAGGGUGAUCGGCCACACUGGAACUGAGACACGGUCCAGACUCCUACGGGAGGCAGCAGUAGGGAAUCUUCCGCAAUGGGCGAAAGCUUGACGGAGCAACGCCGCGUGAGUGAUGAAGGUCUUCGGAUCGUAAAACUCUGUUAUUAGGGAAGAACAAAUGUGUAAGUAACUAUGCACGUCUUGACGGUACCUAAUCAGAAAGCCACGGCUAACUACGUG
Molecule: ribosomal RNA, 497 nt
Filed under: uncultured bacterium
Lineage: Bacteria
Description: partial 16S ribosomal RNA
Rfam family: Bacterial small subunit ribosomal RNA
Source: RNAcentral